This 486-nucleotide ribosomal RNA is filed under the name uncultured bacterium. RNAcentral describes it as "partial 16S ribosomal RNA". It matches the Rfam family "Bacterial small subunit ribosomal RNA", at positions 30 to 507 of the family's 1533-position model. The record is from RNAcentral.
AUUGAACGCUGGCGGCAUGCCUUACACAUGCAAGUCGAACGGCAGCACGGGUGCUUGCACCUGGUGGCGAGUGGCGAACGGGUGAGUAAUACAUCGGAACAUGUCCUGUAGUGGGGGAUAGCCCGGCGAAAGCCGGAUUAAUACCGCAUACGAUCUACGGAUGAAAGCGGGGGACCUUCGGGCCUCGCGCUAUAGGGUUGGCCGAUGGCUGAUUAGCUAGUUGGUGGGGUAAAGGCCUACCAAGGCGACGAUCAGUAGCUGGUCUGAGAGGACGACCAGCCACACUGGGACUGAGACACGGCCCAGACUCCUACGGGCGGCAGCAGUGGGGAAUUUUGGACAAUGGGCGAAAGCUUGAUCCAGCAAUGCCGCGUGUGUGAAGAAGGCCUUCGGGUUGUAAAGCACUUUUGUCCGGAAAGAAAUCCUUGGCCCUAAUACGGUCGGGGGAUGACGGUACCGGAAGAAUAAGCACCGGCUAACUACGUG